GCCAGCAAAGUGUCCUAGGAGAGACAAAUGGCGGCAUUCCCAGAUGUAGCUGUCCCUUCAUGCUACUGUAUUAAAAUGCUUUAGACUGGAUGAUUUUAUUAACAACAGAAAUUGACUUCUUCUCACAGUUCUGACAAGUCCAAGGUCAAAGUGUCAGAAGAUUUUGUGUAUGGGGAAGACUUGCUUUCUCCUUCUAACAUGGUGCCAGAUUCACAUAUCCUCUUAUGGUGAAAGGGAAGAAGGAUUGAACUCAUUCUUUCAAGCCACUUCCCCCUUUCCUUCCUUUCUAUCUUUCUUUUUUAUGUACAAGCGAUUGACACCAGCAUAUCACACAUGCUAGACAAAUACUCUACCACUCAGCUACAUCCCCACCCCUUUUUGUUUUAUUUUGACAGAUGAACUCGCUACAUUUACAUAGGCUGGCCUGGCCUUGAACUUGUGAUUCUCUUUCCUCAGUCUCACAGUAGCAAGGAUAUAUAGAGUCAAGGAUUGAACCCAGGGCCUUGUGUGUUCCAGGUGAAUGUUCUACCACUGAGUAAAAUCCGAACCCCAGGAGCAGCAUUCUGUAUGUUAUUGAAGUAAGACUGUUCUUGAUUGACAUCAGAGUAGAAUCAAUUUUGCAUUUCAAAUGGGACCCACAAAGAAAUAGUGAUAAUACAAACCACAAAUAAAAGUGAUGUGAAUUAAAAUAUUUUGUUACAAAAUUCAAAAAUAAAAAAUAAUAUAAAUCAUGAAGAAAAUAGACAAGAAAGCCAUAAAACAUGUAAGAAGCAAAUGACAAAAAAAGCCUUAUCAAGAAUUUCUGUAAGUGACAAUAUAUCGAAAAGUCCAAUGAAAAGACGGGGAGUGGCAGAAUGAAUAGAAAACAGGAUCCAACUUGUCUACAAGAACUAAUGGAGGAAGAGGAUCCAGCAGAAUCUGGGAAGCAUGUUCUAGGCAGAGUGCAUAGCAAGGACAAAAGUCCAAGGCAUAAAUAAACUUAGAGGGAUGGAGGUGCAAGAAUGCCUGAGUGUGUUUCCCCAGUGAUAGAGCAGGAAUGAAUGGAAAGUUAGACAUUGGUCAGGUCAAGGACACACUGGGAAUAGGUAUUCUUAUUUCCAGUUUGCAGAUGAGGAAACUGGGUUCAGGGAAGUUGAGCUAUCCUGCUGAAGUCCUUCUCUCACACUCUGGUUCCAAAGUUCUCACUUCUCAAAACAUUGAACCUGGGUCAGACUUAAUGUGUUGAGUUACCCACCUCCUGGCUAUCCAUUUAAGAUAUGAUUGCAACAGACAUAGAUAUUCAGACAGGCUAAUUAAAUAUAUUUAAAAAUUUAGUCCAGUCCCUCAUCAAGUACAUCAGUAGGCUCCCUGCUCCUGAAAAUAUCUUGGAUCCAUCACCAAACAAUUUUUCUGAAACAUGUAGUCAGAUGGGCAUUUUACUCAACUUAAAUUAGACUUGAGUCUGACCUUUAUAAAAUCUCUCUAUUUCCUAUUUAAGGAAAAAACCAAGGAUCCUCCAUGUUAUGGUUGGGUCUGAGGUAUCCCCCCAAAAGCUCAUGUGUGAAACAAUGUAAAAAGGUUCAGAGGAGAAAAAUGAUCAUGUUGUAUGAAUCUUAACCCAAUCAGUGAUUUAAUUCCUUGAUAGGGAUUAAAUGAGUGGUAACUGAAGUGAUAGGGUGUGGCUGGAAGAUGUGGGAAUUGGGCUGUGUCUUUGGUGUAUAUACUUGUAUCUGGAAAGUGGAGUCUCUUUCUCUGCUUCUUGGUCACCAUGAUGUCAGCUGCAUCUCUCUGCCACACUCUCCUGCCAUGAUGUUCAGCCUCACCUCAAGCCAUGAGAAAUAGAUGGAGCCAACCUUCUAUGGAUUAAGACCUCUGAAACUGUGAGCCCCUGAAUAAACUUUUUCUCCUCUGUGGUUGUUCUGAUCAGAUCCUUUAGUCAUAGAAGUGAAAAAGCUAGUCUGACUAAAACACUCUGGAAUCAGGCUGAACACAACACAGCCAGUAUUAGAGCAACAGGGACACAUAGUGUGUUGGUCACAAAGCAGAUUAGAUGAAGCUGAAGAGAGCAUUAGUGAACUGGAAAAUCAUCCUAAGGAAAUUGCUCCUGAUGCAACAAAGAGAAAAAAGAAAAUGAAAAAAUAGAAGAUAGGCUCUGAAGUCCAAAGUGGUCCAGAAGCCAAUCAUCAUCUGAGUGGUGGGGGCUGGGGAGAGAAAGAAGCAUGUAAGAGAGUAAAACAUGGAGCACUCUCGAAGCCUGGACUAGCUUAUCCUGUUUGAAACAACAUGGUCUUCCUCAGACAUUCUCCAUGUUCAAAGAGCUGAGUCUCCAGAGACUGUGGUAGGGAAAAUAAAGGAAAGAAGAUGGGAAUGUAUGUUAAUUGAAUACUACUAUGUGUCACAUACUGUCCUAUGAUCUAUGUCGUUUAAUCAGUCCAUCAGCUUCAGGGUUGAAAUCUUUGCUUCCAUUCUGUCAUGGAGCAGAGAUUCACCAUGUCUGAUUUGUGUGUCCUUGGUGGUUAACACAUAGAUACGCACAGCAGAGGUGCUAAAUAAAGACUGUUGAAUAUGCAUGAACUCUGAAACUUGCAGAGUUCAGUGUCAGGUCAACAGUGACACAGAUAGUAAGAGGAAGAGAAUGGAUCUGAAUUUAGAAUAAUUUUGUUCAGUUCCUCAACUGAUUUUUCAUAAUGCUAAGCAAUGUCUAUUUGCCUCCUAUUAUGGUUUGGAUGCUAAACAUUCCCCCAAAGCUUAUAUGUUGAAAACUUGGUCCCCAGUGCAGCACUGUUCAGAGGUGGGGCCUUUGGUAGGUGAUGGGGUCAUGAGGGCGGUGACCUCCUAAAUGGAUUAAUGAAUUGAUAAAUUUAUAGCUUAAUCAGCUAUUGGGAAGAUUUUGAAAAUUUAGAAAAUGGGGCCAAUUGGGAGGAAAUAGGUUAUUGGGGGUAUUCCCAUGAAUAUUUUGUCCAUGGCUCCUCCCAAUCCCCACUUUCUGCUUUCUGGCCUCUAUAAGGUGAGCUGUUUUCUGCCACCCCACAUUCCCCACAGCUUUGCCAGAGGCUGAAAUAAAUGAGGCCAAGUGGCCAUGGACUGAGGACUCUGAAAUCAUGAUCCUAAUAAAUCUUUGUUUCUUUUAACUUGCUUUCCUCAGGUGUUUUGCCAUAGCAACAGAAAGUUGACUAACACAGAAAACUACCAUGAACAAUGAGAUCAUUGCCAUGACUAUAGCUAACACAUGGUUUAGAGGUCUUUACAACAAAUUUACAGGAAGAACUUAAAAAAAUUUGGAGAAUAGGCUAGAAAAAAAUAGACCACCACAUGUGGAGCAUAAUACAUGACUCUGAUGGUCAUUAAGAAGGCAAGAGUGCUGGUAGUAAUGUGAGAAUAAAGACUGCUGGUGAAGUUUCUGAGAGAAAUGAUGACUGUUGGAAAUUGAACGAGAUAGAGAUCAUUUUAUAUUCUGGAGAAUAAUUUGUCUAUAUUUUGUCUAUGCCAUGAGACACUGUGUGAGGCUGAGUUUCAAGAUGACAGAAUAGUUAAUCUGGUGGAGGACAUUUCAAGGCAGCAUAGACUUUCAAGCCUGGUAUUCUCAAGUCUUUUUUUUUUUUUUUUAA
Molecule: non-coding RNA, 3587 nt
Organism: Ictidomys tridecemlineatus (thirteen-lined ground squirrel)
Lineage: Eukaryota; Metazoa; Chordata; Mammalia; Rodentia; Sciuridae
Source: RefSeq, a predicted model, not a curated record